AAUACAUGUCGCCGUUGACUUUUAGUCACACGUUUGACCAUUCGUCUUAUUCAAAAAAUUUAUGCAAAUAUUAUUUAUUUUGUUAUGAAUUGGUUUAUUACUAUAUAUAUUUUAAACAUGACUUGUAUUUUUGUAUAUUUGCAUAAAUUUUUUGAAUAAGACGAAUGGUCAAAUAUGUCAUAAAAAGUCAACGGCGACAUGUAUU
Molecule: microRNA precursor, 205 nt
Filed under: Leersia perrieri
Lineage: Eukaryota; Viridiplantae; Streptophyta; Magnoliopsida; Poales; Poaceae
Description: MIR812 microRNA precursor family
Rfam family: MIR812 microRNA precursor family
Source: Rfam by way of RNAcentral